UACAUGGGGUGCAAACGUUGCUCGGAAUUAUUGGGCGUAAAGCGCACGUAGGCGGUUCGUUAAGUCGGAUGUGAAAGCCCUCGGCUCAACUGAGGAAGUGCACCCGAAACUGGCGAGCUUGAGUACGAAAGAGGAUCGCGGAAUUCCCGGUGUAGAGGUGAAAUUCGUAGAUAUCGGGAGGAACACCAGUGGCGAAGGCGACUCACUGGCCCGUUACUGACGCUGAGGCGCGAAAGCGUGGGGAGCAAACAGG
RNAcentral lists this ribosomal RNA (253 nucleotides) under uncultured bacterium. RNAcentral's name for it is "partial 16S ribosomal RNA". It matches the Rfam family "Bacterial small subunit ribosomal RNA", at positions 524 to 776 of the family's 1533-position model. The record is from RNAcentral.